AUUGAACGCUGGCGGGAUGCUUUACACAUGCAAGUCGAACGAGUGGCGGACGGGUGAGUAAUAUAUCGGAACGUGCCCAGUAGCGGGGGAUAACUACUCGAAAGAGUGGCUAAUACCGCAUACUCUUGGAGCGGCCGAUAUGGGAUUAGCUAGUUGGUGGGGUAAAGGCUCACCAAGGCAACGAUCCGUAGCUGGUUUGAGAGGACGACCAGCCACACUGGGACGUAGACACGGCCCAGACUCCUACGGUAGGCAGCAGUGGGGAAGAUUGGACAAUGGGGGAAACCCUGAUCCAGCCAUCCCGCGUGUAUGAGAAGGCCUUCGGGUUGUAAAGUACUUUUGGCAGAGAAGCGGUAUCUGCAGAAUAAGCACCGGCUAACUCCGUGCCAGCAGCCGCGGUAAUUC
This 405-nucleotide ribosomal RNA is filed under the name uncultured bacterium. RNAcentral's name for it is "partial 16S ribosomal RNA". It matches the Rfam family "Bacterial small subunit ribosomal RNA", at positions 30 to 526 of the family's 1533-position model. The record is from RNAcentral.